CACGUAGGGCGCAAGCGUUGUCCGGAAUUAUUGGGCGUAAAGAGCUCGUAGGCGGUCUGUUGCGUCCGCUGUGAAAACCCGGGGCUUAACCUCGAGCUGUCGGCGGAAACCAUCUGGCUAGAGUCCGGAAGAGGAGAAUGGAAUUCCCGGUGUAGCGGUGAAAUGCGCAGAUAUCGGGAAGAACACCCGUGGCGAAGGCGGUUCUCUGGGACGGUACUGACGCUGAGACGCGAAAGCGUGGGGAGCGAACAGG
This 253-nucleotide ribosomal RNA is filed under the name uncultured bacterium. Its description in RNAcentral is "partial 16S ribosomal RNA". It matches the Rfam family "Bacterial small subunit ribosomal RNA", at positions 524 to 776 of the family's 1533-position model. The record is from RNAcentral.